GGCAGCAGUCACGGAUCAGGUAGGAAGGCAGAGGCAGGGGCGGGGCCCUCUCACUGCAGUUAAGUGACUCUCAGGAGCGGUGGGAAGGACAGAGGCUGCAGUUUCCCCUGAUCUCCAGAGAGCCCGAGGUGCGCCCACCCCGGCCCUGUGCCCGGUGAUGUCCUCGCGUCCCCAGGACGAGAGCCUGGACCAGGUCACCUCCCACUCUCCUGGGGACAGGUCUGCUAGCGCCGGGCCGCCCUUCCUUACCCUGCCUGCACUGCGGAGCCCGACUACAGACUUGAUGUCAAAACCUUGGACUUUCCUCCGCCCGCCGACCAAUGGGCCUACUUGUAAUUAAAUGUGUGUUCUUAUUUUA
This is a long non-coding RNA of Chinchilla lanigera (long-tailed chinchilla), 358 nucleotides long. RefSeq lists it as uncharacterized. The transcript is spliced from 2 exons. The record is from RefSeq and is a predicted model, not a curated record. NCBI's taxonomy places the organism in Eukaryota, Metazoa, Chordata, Mammalia, Rodentia, Chinchillidae.